RNAcentral lists this transfer RNA (74 nucleotides) under Bacillota bacterium. RNAcentral's name for it is "Firmicutes bacterium (hot springs metagenome) tRNA-Met". It matches the Rfam family "tRNA". Rfam says of the family: Transfer RNA (tRNA) molecules are approximately 80 nucleotides in length. Lineage: Bacteria; Bacillati; Bacillota. The record is from RNAcentral.
AGCAGGGUGGAGCAGGCAGGUAGCUCGCCGGGCUCAUAACCCGGAGGUCGCUGGUUCAAAUCCAGCCCCUGCAA